GGUAUCGUGGAGUAAUGGUAUCUCAGUAGCCCGCUAAGCUAUCCUACGGCAACGUAGUCCGUGUUCGAAUCACGGCGGUACCG
Molecule: transfer RNA, 83 nt
Filed under: Caudoviricetes sp.
Lineage: Duplodnaviria; Heunggongvirae; Uroviricota; Caudoviricetes
Description: tRNA-Ser
Source: RNAcentral